UCAUUGUUUUCUAUUUAAGAAUUUCACAUUCCCCUGGACCUCUCAUAGUGUCCCAUGCUAGAGCAACCCAUGGCCCCAAACCAUUGCCCUGCCUCUGUCUGUAGGCUGCUGGCACUGAAGUGGGUUGCACGUAA
Molecule: small nucleolar RNA, 134 nt
Organism: Mastomys coucha (southern multimammate mouse)
Lineage: Eukaryota; Metazoa; Chordata; Mammalia; Rodentia; Muridae
Product: small nucleolar RNA SNORA42/SNORA80 family
Exons: 1
Source: RefSeq, a predicted model, not a curated record